AGAAUCAACGCUGGCGGCGUGCCUAACACAUGCAAGUCGAACGAGAAAGUGGAGCAAUCCAUGAGUACAGUGGCGUACGGGUGAGUAACACGUGACUAACCUACCCUCGAGUGGGGAAUAACCUCGGGAAACCGGGCUAAUACCGCAUAACAUCUUCGGAUCAAAUGCGUAAGCAGCUUGAGGAGGGGGUCGCGGCCGAUUAGCUAGUUGGCGGGGUAAUGGCCCACCAAGGCAAUGAUCGGUAGCCGGCCUGAGAGGGCGCACGGCCACACUGGAACUGAAACACGGUCCAGACUCCUACGGGAGGCAGCAGUGGGGAAUUUGCGCAAUGGGGGAAACCCUGACGCAGCAACGCCGCGUGGAGGAUGAAGCCCUUUGGGGCGUAAACUCCUUUCGAUCGGGACGAUUAUGACGGUACCGGAAGAAGAAGCACCGGCUAACUCUGCGCCAGCAGCCGC
RNAcentral lists this ribosomal RNA (458 nucleotides) under uncultured bacterium. RNAcentral's name for it is "SSU rRNA". It matches the Rfam family "Bacterial small subunit ribosomal RNA", at positions 26 to 518 of the family's 1533-position model. The record is from RNAcentral.